AAACCACAUCGGAUCAUUAUUCUGAGUUACAGUCAUGGAUCGCAAACUUCUUACCUGUCUACUUCUUUUGGCUCUUUUGCAAGUCGCCGCUGCUCGCACGUGCGGUACCUACGAUAUCGCUUUUGCCCGUACUGACGGCGAAGAACUACUUCCUUUGGAGGAAGACGAAUUGUGCGAUGGCUUUGCUGAAAUGGCUGACAUGGGGGGAAUGAAACCAUGGAGAAAAUAUUAACACGCUCUAUAGUUUUCGAAUAAGUUUGCCAAUAACGUACGAAGCAAACAAAAUAAAAAUUUCAUGAUGAAAA
Ciona intestinalis (vase tunicate) is the source of this 305-nucleotide non-coding RNA. Lineage: Eukaryota; Metazoa; Chordata; Ascidiacea; Phlebobranchia; Cionidae. The record is from RefSeq and is a predicted model, not a curated record.